GACGAACGCUGGCGGCGUGCUUAACACAUGCAAGUCGAACGGAAAGGCCCUGCUUUUGUGGGGUGCUCGAGUGGCGAACGGGUGAGUAACACGUGAGUAACCUGCCCUUGACUUUGGGAUAACUUCAGGAAACUGGGGCUAAUACCGGAUAGGAGCUCCUGCUGCAUGGUGGGGGUUGGAAAGUUUCGGCGGUUGGGGAUGGACUCGCGGCUUAUCAGCUUGUUGGGGGGGUAGUGGCUUACCAAGGCUUUGACGGGUAGCCGGCCUGAGAGGGUGACCGGCCACAAUGGGACUGCGGUACGGCCCAGACUCCUACGGGAGGCAGCAGGGGGGAAUAUUGCACAACGGGGCGAAGCCUGAUGCAGCAACGCCGCGUGCGGGAUGACGGCCUUCGGGUUGUAAACCGCUUUCGCCUGUGACGAAGCGUGAGUGACGGUAAUGGGUAAAGAAGCACCGGCUAACUACGUG
This 468-nucleotide ribosomal RNA is filed under the name uncultured bacterium. RNAcentral's name for it is "partial 16S ribosomal RNA". It matches the Rfam family "Bacterial small subunit ribosomal RNA", at positions 28 to 507 of the family's 1533-position model. The record is from RNAcentral.